This 61-nucleotide transfer RNA is filed under the name Gammarus lacustris. RNAcentral describes it as "tRNA-Thr". Lineage: Eukaryota; Metazoa; Arthropoda; Malacostraca; Amphipoda; Gammaridae. The record is from RNAcentral.
GUCGCUAUAGUUUAUAAAAAACCUUAGUCUUGUAAACUAAAAUAGGGUGUCCCUGUCGACU